CAAGCGAGAUUGACGCUUUACCCUGGUGGAUGCAGUACAUACGGUGAUCUCAGUGCUCAUCUGAUCUACACUGAGUGUCCCAGGAGUUUUUCCAGCAUGGCUUGUAGGUCAUUACACAAUUCUGAAUAGCCCUGGUGCGAUUGUCUGUGAUCUUAACCAAAAAUUACUUAGAUACAAGGAACAUGGCAAUCCAGGACGUCAGGGGUGAGUUGCUUCUUUCUAUUUACGCCAAAUCUGUCUUCACUGCGUUGGCUUCGGGACAUGCUUCUUCUUUCGCAGGCCUUGUUUUCUUGCUGAUGAUUUGCUGACGUUUUUUGUGCUCUGCGUCUGUGACGUGGAUCCUAUUCUGCAAUUUAGU
Molecule: long non-coding RNA, 358 nt
Filed under: Coccomyxa subellipsoidea
Lineage: Eukaryota; Viridiplantae; Chlorophyta; Trebouxiophyceae; Coccomyxaceae
Description: long non-coding RNA (CSUB_LNC000749)
Source: RNAcentral